AUGGGAAACGUUUGGAUACGCUCCUCACGCACGUCCUUAUCGAGCAUGCGUGCCACGUCCUCCGCCACACCGCCCUGCUUCCUUAUCCUUUUCUCCUUAGCCACACAUUUAUUGUUGCCAGAACCACCCCCUUCUCUCUUCUACUCUUCCAGCUGUGGCGCCGCAGCGCGCUCGUUCGUGCUCGCCCCGACGCCCUCCCCUGGUAGCUUCCACAUUUGUUGUGCUCGCACGAAGCCCCACCGUCCUCCCGCGCGUCGCCGUAGAGCUCCAACCAGAACCAAAAAAAGCUGCAAUCGGCGCAUCGCCGUCGAUGCUGAGCGGAAGCGGCAGCCGAGCGUGCGUGCUACCACGGGGCGUGGAAAAGCUGCAUCCGGCUGA
Molecule: ribosomal RNA, 378 nt
Filed under: Triticum aestivum (bread wheat)
Lineage: Eukaryota; Viridiplantae; Streptophyta; Magnoliopsida; Poales; Poaceae
Description: partial small subunit ribosomal RNA
Source: RNAcentral